AUACGGAGGAUGCGAGCGUUAUCCGGAUUUAUUGGGUUUAAAGGGAGCGUAGGUGGGAUAUUAAGUCAGCUGUGAAAGUUUGGGGCUCAACCUUAAAAUUGCAGUUGAUACUGGUUUCCUUGAGUACGGUACAGGUGGGCGGAAUUCGUGGUGUAGCGGUGAAAUGCUUAGAUAUCACGAAGAACUCCGAUCGCGAAGGCAGCUCACCGGGCCGGAACUGACACUGAUGCUCGAAAGUGCGGGUAUCAAACAGGAUUAGAUACCCUGGUAGUCCGCACAGUAAACGAUGAAUACUCGCUGUUUGCGAUACACGGUAAGCGGCCAAGCGAAAGCGUUAAGUAUUCCACCUGGGGAGUACGCCGGCAACGGUGAAACUCAAAGGAAUUGACGGGU
RNAcentral lists this ribosomal RNA (393 nucleotides) under uncultured bacterium. RNAcentral describes it as "partial 16S ribosomal RNA". It matches the Rfam family "Bacterial small subunit ribosomal RNA", at positions 523 to 918 of the family's 1533-position model. The record is from RNAcentral.